This 252-nucleotide ribosomal RNA is filed under the name uncultured bacterium. RNAcentral's name for it is "partial 16S ribosomal RNA". It matches the Rfam family "Bacterial small subunit ribosomal RNA", at positions 524 to 776 of the family's 1533-position model. The record is from RNAcentral.
UACGUAGGUCCCGAGCGUUGUCCGGAUUUAUUGGGCGUAAAGCGAGCGCAGGUGGUUUAUUAAGUCUGGUGUAAAAGGCAGUGGCUCAACCAUUGUAUGCAUUGGAAACUGGUAGACUUGAGUGCAGGAGAAGAGAGUGGAAUUCCAUGUGUAGCGGUGAAAUGCGUAGAUAUAUGGAGGAACACCGGUAGCGAAAGCGGCUCUCUGGCCUGUAACUGACACUGAGGCUCGAAAGCGUGGGGAGCAAACAGG